AUUGAGACUUCGGUGGAUUUGAUCUAUUUCUAGUGGCGGACGGGUGAGUAACGCGUGGGUAACCUGCCUUAUACAGGGGGAUAACAGUCAGAAAUGGCUGCUAAUACCGCAUAAGCGCACAGAGCCGCAUGGCUCGGUGUGAAAAACUCCGGUGGUAUGGGAUGGGCCCGCGUCUGAUUAGGCAGUUGGCGGGGUAACGGCCCACCAAACCGACGAUCAGUAGCCGGCCUGAGAGGUUGAACGGCCACAUUGGGACUGAGAUACGGCCCAGACUCC
This 276-nucleotide ribosomal RNA is filed under the name uncultured Eubacteriales bacterium. RNAcentral's name for it is "uncultured Clostridiales bacterium partial 16S ribosomal RNA". It matches the Rfam family "Bacterial small subunit ribosomal RNA", at positions 66 to 339 of the family's 1533-position model. Lineage: Bacteria; Bacillati; Bacillota; Clostridia; Eubacteriales. The record is from RNAcentral.